This 3462-nucleotide long non-coding RNA is filed under the name Heterocephalus glaber (naked mole-rat). RNAcentral's name for it is "lncRNA (ENSHGLG00000042215.1)". The record is from RNAcentral. Lineage: Eukaryota; Metazoa; Chordata; Mammalia; Rodentia; Bathyergidae.
AGACUGCCUCUGCAGAGAGAGGAGAGAGCCCCAUCUCACAGGCCCAGCUGCCCCAUGCGUGGCCCACCCUGCCAGCCAGGGGUGUGGCUCUCAGAGCCCAGUACAAGCUUGGCCUUCUGUAAUCACACGGCAAAACUGGACAGAAAGUACAGAGAUCUGUCACAGGCCCUCCGCCCUACACACACACAGCCUCUAUCCCUGACGGCAUCCUACUACAGCGGGCCACAUGUUACACAGCUGUGCCAUCACUGCCCGGAGCCCUCCGUCUACAACGGGCUCACUCUCGGUAUCAACUGUGGAGGCAGGCGCCAGAUCAUCUUGAGGAGGAGGACACUGGCACAAAGAGGGGACAUAGCUAACCCCAAGCCACACGACUCAUGCAGGAUUAAGUUCAGGGCCCUCACAGACGGGUCCUCCAGUAACAUCAAAAGACCUGGCCUUGGGCUUCCUAACCAUGCUGAUGCCCAUCAGCAAGUCAGGGACAGUCCGCUUUUGUCCCCAAGGCUCCGUGCGACAGUCUGGGCAAGGACUGCACGUGGGACGAAGGUGAGUGUGUGGGUCCAGGAGGGCCCGGUGUGGGGCCAACCACCAGGGCACAGGCUGGCACAUGUGGGAACACUUUAGGAUCUGGACACCAGGGGACAUCAGACCCUAUGAUGGUGAUAUAUUUUACCGAAGAUGACUUUUACCCCCAUGGGAAGCAGAGCCUGACUGUGAAGGACGCAGACCCUGAAGCCAGGCAGAUCCCAGCUCCAGCCCUUGGGAGCAGUGACCAAGGGGAACGUUCCCCAUCUGAAACACGGGGUAACAGAAGACCUUACUCACAAAUCACACUGAGAAUUAAGACUCACACAGACGUGGCUGCAUGGUGGCCACCGCUGUCAUUAUUAUUGCACUGACCUUUGAACAAAGAGGAAAAAGCAAAAGCUGUCAUAGUUUCCCAUCUUUACACACAGGGAGGCGACUCUUCCGUGGUUCCGCAUGGGGGCCUCCAGCUCAAAUUAAACUGUCACCAAGUCAGGAAGCCACAGACCAAGGAAAUAAAAUGGAAAGAGUGGUUCUUUGCCUGAAGGAGCAGGGGAGCCCCAGUCAUGAGCGAAUGAGGCACGGAAAAGACAAGCGUGGCAGAACAGCCGGGAUUAUGAAAAGCCACGUGGGCGACACCAAUCCGUCUUCAAGCCCAGAAGCCAGCAAAAAAGAGAACAACAAGCAAUAUUUUAACUCAGCAAUCGUUUUGCAAAAGGGAGAGGUGGUAAGAGUGAGGGUGGUGAGAGCAGCCACCAUUUGUGGGGCUCCUGGAUGCAUGGGCCACAGGCGAAGCUGUGCAUCCCCCAGGAGUUGCUUCUGGUCCCAUUUACAGGAGGAGAAAAUCAAGGGUCAGAGAGGGUGACAUCGCAUUUAAAGCCACGCAGCUGGGAAGAGGUGAGCCAGGAUUCUGCGUGGUCCUCGAAGGCCUGUGUGGUGACAUGAAAUUUCACAAUACUAACCUUGGUCCCUCUACUGGCCCAGGGCCUGGCACAGCAGGUGCUCAGUAAAUGUGCUGCGUGACUGAAGGAAGGAAGGAGAGUGUAAGGUUGGGUGGCCCUCGGGUUCUCUCCAGAGAACAAAGCUACACCAAGCCCAGGAGAGCCAUGUGUACUUGUUCACGCCUGCAUUCAUUCACGGUGUCUAGCAGGUGACCAGGCUGUAUGAGGUAGGCAUCAGGGCACAAGUCACAGGCCCAGAGCUUGAAGGGCACUUGUCCCACAAGAGCACAGCCCUGGCGGUGACGAUGUCAGGUCCAGGUGGCACUGGGCCAUAUCUUCCCCAUAAUUGCCAUCAAUUUUCUCUCUGCAGUAGCUCUCACAGUGGGAGCAGCCAGAUCCUCUAAGGCCACACCAAUUAAUUCUUCAAGAGCCUUAAUAGCCUUUAAACUCAUAAUGAUCUGCUUUUGAGGACCAGUGAUAAAUCACACUCAACAGCCUGGAGCAUCCUCUGGCCCUCACAAACACACACACAUCCCAGCAGGGGACCUCUCCCCAGGCCUGCAGCCAGGUCCGAGACCACCUGUCACCUGGCCUCCGUGCUUGCCUGCUGGAUAUUCCACACAUCAUCAUAAUUCAUAGGAAAUUUACAAAACAGGAAGGAAGAAAUCCAGCAGGUCAUUGGCAGUCGGGAAGAGCGGAGUGCUGACUUGGACAAAUGCUGCCCGUUUGGGGUCUGACUGGCCCUGCAAGGCCACCUACACACUUGGGCCCUCUGUCAGGCAGUGUUGUCACUCCCUACUGCUGAAAGGGAAACUGAAGCGAGGGAUGUGCUAACUUACAUCAACUCACAAAACUGAGCCUGGAUGUGGAACAAAAUGUUCACUUCCCCAGGCCCUUCUUUCCCGCUGCCCUGAAUCAGACACUCCGGGAGAGCCACGUUCCAAAGAUCUGCCAGGUAAAACAAAACCUCACCCACACACACAGAAACGGAGCUCCCAAAGCCCUGUGCCUGUCCCAUGCUGCCCUCCGUGCCAAGUCAGCAUGCUGUUUGACUCUGCAGCUGUCAGCUCUAUCCUUGUGUUCGGACUGAAGCUGUGUAAAUAUUAGCACAACUCGUUCAUAGUCCGACUUCCUUGUGACAAAGCCUGAAAUCCCGGCAAGGCCCUCUGGAGGCCUGCCUUCGGUCAUAACACCUGGGCCCUCCCAUAGGCUCCCCUGGGGGUAUUCUGCCUCAACGUGCCCAUGUGGAGAGCAGGUGCAGACAGCAUCGUGAGCUGCUGUGAGGUUCAGACACAGCAAGUCACCCUUACGUUGCAGCGAGGGAGCCACGAUACUGUCCAAGACAGGCCUGCACGUGCGGAGCAUGUGGCUGGGCCUAGGAGUGGUUUUCUCAGGCAAGUUCCAGACGAGGCCUCCUCUGGCUUCAGGGAGGAGGAAGAGAUGGCCAGCUGGAAGGAUGGUGGGUAGGCUGGACCCUGGAAGGCUCCGCAGCUUCAGGACAUCUAAUUCAGCCUCCACAAACCAGGGGCUGGACCACUUCUCUCCAGCUCUCCCCAAGGCUUCCUCCGGAACUGUAUACUGGGUGCUCUUGAGUGAACAGGACUCUGAAACUGACAGGCAAACUGUGGCCUGCAACUGUGAGAGGCCUCUUGAUCUCUGUGACACUUGGCCCUGCUCUGAGACUGGGGAGCAGCUGUUUAUCAGCAACCCAGACCACAGAAGGCUCAGAGAGUCCUGCAGCUGGAGGACUUACAUCAGAGACACAGGGCGACUUCUGCUGAGAAGGGAUGUGGAUGAGGCUCUGCAACAGAGGUGGCCAGGGACACGCCACCAGAGUAGUGACACUGGGGAGGUCUUGAUGAAGGGGCAGAAAGGCCCCCACUAGGGCCUUUCAGCUCAGGGUAGGAUGAAGGGCUGCCUUGUUUCUCAUGGUCACCAUAUUCCCUGCUACACCACCGGCCAUACAAGGACAAAGACUAAGUUUUGUUCACUGCUG